RNAcentral lists this long non-coding RNA (1153 nucleotides) under Marmota marmota marmota (Alpine marmot). RNAcentral describes it as "lncRNA (ENSMMMG00000007130.1)". The record is from RNAcentral. Lineage: Eukaryota; Metazoa; Chordata; Mammalia; Rodentia; Sciuridae.
UGACCUGGACUGCAUUGUGUCUGUGACUCAGUUUUUAUACACAGCCUGGGGGGUGGGAGUGAUUCUUUUAAAAAAAGAAGUUACUGUCACAGAGAGUCCAAGAUUCGCCCCCUAUUUGACAUCUCUUUUGAGUAUAUUGGAUCUUUUAAGCCCAUCAGCUUUCUAAGCUGAAUCCAAAUAUGUUGAUGAAAUAGCAACCUUCUCAUGUCCCCACCACUUUUAUUAGGUUAUUGGCAAACUCUUCUUUCACUGAAAAAGUUGCCUAUAUAAAAGCAAUCCUCAGAGAACUGCUGAUUCUUCAGUGUAUCUGAAAAAAAAAAAUCAAGAAGCGUUUUGUUCAGGUUCAUAGCUUGUGCAAGGCAACAUACAGAUUGUAAAUGUGUUGAAAAUAGAUCUUUGGUGAUUAGAAGGAAAGAUAAAAAUGUGAUCAGUUAAGAAAUGGUAUCUUCCUUGUGUGACUUCCCCAGAAAGUUCCAUAGACUUUCAGGAUCAGGUGAGCACCCCGUGGUCUAGAACAGCUGAGAAUGCUUCUUUUUUUUGGGGGGGGGGUUAGGGGAGGGGUACUGGGGAUUGAACCCUGGUGCACUCAACCACUGAGCCACAUCACCAGCUCUAUUUUGUAUCUCAUUUAGAGACAGGGUCUCACUGAGUUGCUUAGCGCCUCACUUUUGCUGAGGCUGGCUUUGAACUUGCCAUCCUCCUGCUUCAUCCUUCUACGCCAUUGGGAUUAAAGGUGUGCACCACCAUGCCUGGCAUGAGAACGCUUCUUCAUGAGAAGGAAUUUGAGUUGGAUCAUCAGUCGGUGGAGAGGCUGAAACCUAUGCUUCAGGCUGCAGAACUGUGUGUGCAAAGCUUGUGCUUCAGGCUGCAGGAUUGUGUGUGCAAAGCUUGGCUAUACGAAGACACUGGGUUGGUUGGGAGAGAGCCUGGGGAGGAAGGACCGAGUCGGAUCACAAGGAGCUUGACACCACUGCUCUAUCAGAGUCAUGAGCAGAGCAGAGCUCCUUGGUCUGUGAGGCAUAAGACUUAUUUCAUGGCAAUGGAUGGCCUGGAAAGCACUCCUUGAGUUUGAGCUCAACAUGACCUUCAGGAUUGGCCUCUACUCAACAUCCCCAGGGUGAAGGCACCUACCAUCAAAAAUAAAUAUAAAUUA